GGGGUUCUGGCUCAGUGGUAGAGCACUUGCCUGGCAUAUGUGAGGCACUGGGUUCAAUUCUCAGCACCCCA
This 71-nucleotide transfer RNA is filed under the name Ictidomys tridecemlineatus (thirteen-lined ground squirrel). Its description in RNAcentral is "Spermophilus tridecemlineatus (thirteen-lined ground squirrel) tRNA". It matches the Rfam family "tRNA". Rfam says of the family: Transfer RNA (tRNA) molecules are approximately 80 nucleotides in length. Their secondary structure includes four short double-helical elements and three loops (D, anti-codon, and T loops). Further hydrogen bonds mediate the characteristic L-shaped molecular structure. tRNAs have two regions of fundamental functional importance: the anti-codon, which is responsible for specific mRNA codon recognition, and the 3' end, to which the tRNAs corresponding amino acid is attached (by aminoacyl-tRNA synthetases). tRNAs cope with the degeneracy of the genetic code in two manners: having more than one tRNA (with a specific anti-codon) for a particular amino acid; and 'wobble' base-pairing, i.e. permitting non-standard base-pairing at the 3rd anti-codon position. The record is from Rfam by way of RNAcentral. Lineage: Eukaryota; Metazoa; Chordata; Mammalia; Rodentia; Sciuridae.